ACGCUCGACACCUACUGGAGGCAGCAGUGGGGAAUAUUGGGCAAUGGGCGAAAGCCUGACCCAGCAACGCCGCGUGAGGGAAGAAGGUUUUCGGAUUGUAAACCUCUGUCCUCAGGGACGAAGGACGUGACGGUACCUGAGGAGGAAGCCCCGGCUAACUACGUGCCUGCAGCCGCGGUAAUCUGAGCGGGCUGGCAAGGC
This 201-nucleotide ribosomal RNA is filed under the name uncultured bacterium. RNAcentral describes it as "partial 16S ribosomal RNA". It matches the Rfam family "Bacterial small subunit ribosomal RNA", at positions 328 to 539 of the family's 1533-position model. The record is from RNAcentral.